Molecule: unclassified non-coding RNA, 221 nt
Filed under: uncultured fungus
Lineage: Eukaryota; Fungi
Description: sequence contains ITS1
Source: RNAcentral
UUAUAGUCAUUUAAUAGACGAUUUCAGACAGCUUUUGUACAGAGAAUUUCGGGGGGUGCCGUCGGCGGACUGACCCUCCCCCGCCGGGGGAAGAGCCGCCGAGGCAACGGGGGGUUUUCACAAAGGGUGAUCCGUUGCGCGCGGGGGGUGCCCGCGCGCCGCGGGGCGGCCACAGGGGCCAAAUUUUUGUAAUGAUCCUUCCGCAGGUUCACCUACGGAAA